Molecule: transfer RNA, 83 nt
Filed under: Taibaiella sp.
Lineage: Bacteria; Pseudomonadati; Bacteroidota; Chitinophagia; Chitinophagales; Chitinophagaceae
Description: tRNA-Tyr
Rfam family: tRNA
About the family: Transfer RNA (tRNA) molecules are approximately 80 nucleotides in length. Their secondary structure includes four short double-helical elements and three loops (D, anti-codon, and T loops).
Source: RNAcentral
GGGUAGGUGGCCGAGUGGUUAAAGGCGGCAGACUGUAAAUCUGCUCACUUCGGUGUACGGAGGUUCGAAUCCUUCCCUGCCCA